AACCAUAGAAACCUGCGGAGUACCUGCGGAGGGAUCAUUACCGAGUGUGGCCCCAUUUUUAAAACAAAUAGGGGUACCUCCCGUCCUUUGCAGGGCCCUUUGGGGCUUUUUGAACUUUGCUUCGGCGGGUUUUAUCCCGCCGGAACACCUCAAGAAAAUCUUUUUAAAAAUACUGUCGUCUGAGCAUUUACAAAAUAAAACAAAACUUUCAACAAUGGAUCUCAGAUCGGAAGAGCACAC
This 240-nucleotide unclassified non-coding RNA is filed under the name soil metagenome. Its description in RNAcentral is "partial contains 5.8S ribosomal RNA, internal transcribed spacer 2, and large subunit ribosomal RNA". The record is from RNAcentral.